RNAcentral lists this ribosomal RNA (253 nucleotides) under uncultured bacterium. RNAcentral's name for it is "partial 16S ribosomal RNA". It matches the Rfam family "Bacterial small subunit ribosomal RNA", at positions 524 to 776 of the family's 1533-position model. The record is from RNAcentral.
UACGUAGGUGGCAAGCGUUGUCCGGAUUUACUGGGUGUAAAGGGCGUGUAGCCGGGUUGACAAGUCAGAUGUGAAAUCCUGCGGCUUAACCGUAGAACUGCAUUUGAAACUGUUGAUCUUGAGUACUGGAGAGGCAGACGGAAUUCCUAGUGUAGCGGUGAAAUGCGUAGAUAUUAGGAGGAACACCAGUGGCGAAGGCGGUCUGCUGGACAGCAACUGACGGUGAGGCGCGAAAGCGUGGGGAGCAAACAGG